CACUGUUUACCUCUCAUUGUGUAGGAGGCUGACAGCCCACCAGGCUACCUCCCAGGGAAGAGCUGCCAGGGCAUCCCCACAGGGUGCAAGGAGGAAGCCACAGCCUCCCCACAGGGUCUCCCAGGCUGAGCCUGGGCUACAGCACAAAGGAGAGGAAGAACAGCUUCAAAUCAGAACCUAGAAGAAGCUGAGGCUGGAUUUCCUUUGAGACCCAAAGACCUAACAGCAACUCAAGACAAUGACCUUUGUGCUCACCACCAGGACAGCAUAAGGCCUCCGAUGGCAGACCCUAGCCCCACCCCAACAGAGAGGGAAUGGCAUAAAAUUCUGAUACUACAUCUCCUCAGGAUAAAAGACAGCAUCCUGCAAAGCCCCUGGACCCUCCUCUUCACCCCAGAGGCCUAUGGCCAAUCAGCAAAGUAAUUUUAGAAAGCAGGACAUGCCACGCAAGCAGCCAAAAAGAUGCACUCUGGAAAAGACUAGGAAACCUUGGGAAACUGCCCUUAACACACAGGGCUGCAAGCAGGAGUCCCUUCUGGGUCCCCACAGGCUGCUAUGAGGGGCCGCCUCCUCCACCACACCAUUCAGAGACAAAAAUGGCAACUGAUGAAUAAGCACAAGGAAAUCCAGAAUGUGAAGCCACUGGAAGGAGCAGGCAAGAUCUCCAUGAUGGGAUGGAGAGGACCAGUGCAUGGUGUCUCCAGGGCCCAGGUCCCCACCUACCCCACCACCCGCCAUUCAGUAUUCCCGGACCAUGGAGGGGUGUGGGGAGAGACAUGGGGACCACAAUGAAUAGUGGACAAACCAGAUGUGGCCAGUGGAGGGAAUGAGGCCAACAGGCAGUAAGGCAGGGAAGCAGACAGCAGAAUGUAAACUAAGACAACAGACUGCUAAGUAGCCAGAUUGUCCAUCACUUGUUACAAGGGCAACUAU
Acinonyx jubatus (cheetah) is the source of this 933-nucleotide long non-coding RNA. RefSeq lists it as uncharacterized. The record is from RefSeq and is a predicted model, not a curated record. Lineage: Eukaryota; Metazoa; Chordata; Mammalia; Carnivora; Felidae. The transcript has 2 exons.